GGACAGGUGGCCGAGUGGUUAAAGGCAGCAGACUGUAAAUCUGCCGGGGUUGCCCCUACGCUGGUUCGAAUCCAGCCCUGUCCACCA
RNAcentral lists this transfer RNA (87 nucleotides) under Sphingomonas sp. Its description in RNAcentral is "tRNA-Tyr". It matches the Rfam family "tRNA". From Rfam's summary of the family: Transfer RNA (tRNA) molecules are approximately 80 nucleotides in length. Their secondary structure includes four short double-helical elements and three loops (D, anti-codon, and T loops). The record is from RNAcentral. Lineage: Bacteria; Pseudomonadati; Pseudomonadota; Alphaproteobacteria; Sphingomonadales; Sphingomonadaceae. RNAcentral also lists the same sequence under 4 other names.